GACGAACGCUGGCGGCGUGCUUAACACAUGCAAGUCGAACGGAAAGGCCCUGCUUUUGUGGGGUGCUCGAGUGGCGAACGGGUGAGUAACACGUGAGUAACCUGCCCUUGACUUUGGGAUAACUUCAGGAAACUGGGGCUAAUACCGGAUCGGAGCUCCUGCUGCAUGGUGGGGGUUGGAACGUUUCGGCGGUUGGGGAUGGACUCGCGGCUUAUCAGCUUGUUGGUGGGGUAGUGGCUUACCAAGGCUUUGACGGGUAGCCGGCCUGAGAGGGUGACCGGCCACAUUGGGACUGAGGUACGGCCCAGACUGCUACGGGAGGCAGCAGUGGGGAAUAUUGCACAAUGGGCGGAAGCCUGAUGCAGCAACGCCGCGUGCGGGAUGACGGCCUUCGGGUUGUAAACCGCUUUCGCCUGUGACGAAGCGUGAGUGACGGUAAUGGGUAAAGAAGCACCGGCUAACUACGUG
This 468-nucleotide ribosomal RNA is filed under the name uncultured bacterium. RNAcentral's name for it is "partial 16S ribosomal RNA". It matches the Rfam family "Bacterial small subunit ribosomal RNA", at positions 28 to 507 of the family's 1533-position model. The record is from RNAcentral.